RNAcentral lists this ribosomal RNA (495 nucleotides) under uncultured bacterium. RNAcentral's name for it is "partial 16S ribosomal RNA". It matches the Rfam family "Bacterial small subunit ribosomal RNA", at positions 28 to 507 of the family's 1533-position model. The record is from RNAcentral.
GAUGAACGCUGGCGGCGUGCCUAAUACAUGCAAGUAGAACGCUGAAGGAGGCGCUUGCUCUUCUGGAUGAGUUGCGAACGGGUGAGUAACGCGUAGGUAACCUGCCUGGUAGCGGGGGAUAACUCUUGGAAACGAUAGCUAAUACCGCAUGACAACAGUUAUUGCAUGAUAACUGUUUAAAAGGGGCAACUGCUCCACUACCAGAUGGACCUGCGUUGUAUUAGCUAGUUGGUGAGGUAACGGCCCACCAAGGCGACGAUACAUAGCCGACCUGAGAGGGUGAUCGGCCACACUGAGACUGAGACACGGCCCAGACUCCUACGGGAGGCAGCAGUAGGGAAGCUGAGGCAAUGGACGGAAGUCUGACCGAGCAACGCCGCGUGAGUGAAGAAGGUGUUCGGAUCGUAAAGCUCGGUUGUAAGCGAAGAACGAGUGGGAGUGUGGAAAGUUCACACUGUGACGGUAUCUUAACAGAAAGGGACGGCUAACUACGUG